AGUGUGCUGUCUACAUGGCCUGGUUAGACUGAGCAGAGAUCCGAGGUCUGUGCAGACUUGCUAGGAGAUAUCCCAGUGUGUAGAGGUCAUGUAUGGUUUGCCUCUGUCUGAGUCCCAUAAGACCUCCGAGGUCUCUGCUACUUCCUCUCUUCCCAAGGAAGGAAGAAACGAGGCAUUUUCCCACUAGUUUCGGUGGACGUACAUCAGGGAUACGCCUUGACCUCUCUAUGUCUCCUCAAGGGAUAAGCAUUUUUUUUUUAAUAUUUGGUGAAACAAGCUGUGGGAGGAGUGGGGAGGUUUUUUCUUGUUUUGUUAUUUAUUUAUUUAUUUAUUUAUUUAUUUAUUUAUUUAUUUAUUUAUUUAUUUAUAAACCAAGGGAGUGUAUGUUUCCUUACCAGGAGGAAGAUUUAGAAAGACUGCAUACAUCAACUACCAAUUCCGGGCAGAUGCAUUUAUUUUAUGCAUAUGAGUAAGUGGGUCCACCAUGUGUGUGCAGUCUCUACAGAGGUCAGAAGAAGGUGUUGGAUGCCCUGGAACUGGAGGUACAGACAGAGGUAAACAGCUAUGUGGGUUCUGGGAACUGAGCGUAGGUCCUCUGCAAGAGCAGGUCCCCUAACCACUGAGCCAUCUUCCCAAGUCUGUAGAAUAGAGGAAGCCUUAAAUAUUAGUGAGAAAAUCCCCUAAUGUCAACUCAGUGUGUUUUUUUGUCACGGUCCUGCUUAAAUUAUAUCCCCAGAUUUCUGUUUCCCCAAAGAGUUAGGAGGAUAAUGACCUUGUGCUCAUCCAUUAGCAAUAAUCGACAAGGAUGUCACUCAGGUAAGUUGAGUCUUCCCCAGUUGCCCAUCGCUUCCGCUUCCUGUUGUCUCAUGCUCAACUGCCUUCUUUAUGUAUCUCACCACCCCAACUAGUACUUGACUUUUAAAGCCAGAACCUACUCUUCCUUUGGUGUUUUAUGCUUAUAGGAUUUGAGGUCCAGCACCAUUUUGCACUCUGUUUGAUGUUACACAGUCCAUUUAUGGUCAUAUUGGAUUUUAGACUUUUUUUUGUUUUUUCUAUUUAUUUAUUUUAUUUAUAUGAGUACACUAUAGCUGUCUUCAGACACACCAGAAGGGACAUUAGAUCCCAUUACAGAUGGUUGUGAAGCCACCAUGUGGUUGCUGGGAUUUGAACUCAGGACCUCUGGAAGAGCAGUCAGUGCUCUUAACCGCUGAGCCAUCUCUCCAGCCCCCAGAUUUUAGACUCUUAUGUCUAAGUUCUAGUCACAUGCUGCCAUGAGACUGCUCAUCUGAAGACUGGCCCAGGUUAGUUAUUUUAAGCAAAAUCUGACGUGUUUUAUAAACUGUGGUAGUGGUUAUUCAUGAGGUAGAAGUGAGAGGGGUAAACAUUUUUUUAGGGAUAAAUAAUUCAUAUUUCCAAUAAAAAAAUACUUGAAAGCAAGAUUUCUCAGCAGGUCCUCAUAGAGACUUGUGUAUAGGGCCACAGAACCUUAAAUCUGGGGUUGUAGACAAGCUCAGAUUGUAUAAGCAGACACUAGUGUAAUGCUAUGAUAGGUCCAAUUUAAAAAAAAAUCAACCACUGUGAUAAAUCCAGCAUUCACUCAUUUAAAGGAACGGUAUCUUUACUGCUAUCCAGUGCACUAAGUUCUCUUACGUAUUUCCCACUUCAUAGGCAUAGAUGUCAAUGCUUGGCUCGAUUUACCCUAAAUCACACAACUAAUGAGCAUCAGAGGGGAAACUGGUACUCAAGAGAAUCUGACCACAAAGCUAUUAACACUUGCCACAUUGCCAGCUCUCCAGGAGGCAGAGGUGACUCCCCAGCUCACACGGAAAAGCUCCUGCAACCAUUCUGCUGCCCAUGUUAACCACACCCUCACCACCAGCUGGCACUGCCAUCACCACCUAUCGGCCAAACAUCAGUUCUUCUGAUUGCACGUCAUCAGGGUCACCUGAUACAUUACAAUGCAUCCAGGAACAACCAAAAUACAAUCCACCUGUCUGUCAUCGAUCACCACCUGCCUGGAGCUGCCAUGCUGGGGUGAAGUGACAACAGGCCAGUCACUUUUGUGUCCCUCAAGAAGCCAGUCUUUGUGCCUGCUACAUGGUGGGAUAUUCGAACUCAUUCACUGCAGUGAAAAUAUCUUGCUUUAGUUUCGAGACUGCUUGCAACUACACAAUAAAUACUUAUCUGUUUUUCUUCUCCUCCCUUGGUCCCCAAUAGACACUGGUUUUAACUAAGCAGACGCAAGUAAGCAAGGAAAUGAUGCAUUCACUAUUGUCUCAUCCUAAUGCUUCUCUACUGGUUCUGUUCUGUGCCACAGGGUGGACAGACUGCUUACCCUUCACAGAAGAGUCAAACUAAGAGCCUAGGAAGCGAAAUGCGAAGCAAGGAUGGGGAAGGUGUGGGGCUAAAGAUAAAGUGGGUGCCAGGUAGAGUUAGAUGUGUCCCUUCUAAGUGCUGGCAAUCUUUUUCAGAGAAUUUUGAGUAUCUCUUUGCAUUUGUAGUGUGUGUGUGUGUGGGGGGGGGAGGGGCGUGUAGGUCACUUUCUGAUGACUCGCCACUUUCCGGUACUCUACCCCACUAAUUUAUGUGAGAUUGGGGUGAAAGGCUGAACAUUUGACCAAGAUACCAUAACAAAAUGCUUUACUAGAAGUCUAUGGCUAUGGUGAUCAGCAUCAAGAAAUACGUAGGAAGCAAAGUUUGACCUUUUACAUCCCAAGGCUCGUCCCUAGGCUAUGACUCACUUCUGACCCUACAUAUCAGACAUGGAUCAGACAGAAGCACAACUAAGUAACAAACUUCAGGAAGCCUUAGCAGCAGCAUCUAGAAUAUGAGAUACCAGGCUAAGGAGGAGGCACCCCAUUCUCACGAGUGUCCCUGGUGUAUACAGGGUGGGAGAGGCUAGGGUUAGUGUUGUGGUUGAUAGUCCGGAAUAAACAGGAAAGAGCCAAGCACUAUUAACACCAGCUCUGGUACUCUGACUUUCUCUCCUUUCCUAGGAACCAUUAAAAGCUUCCAAGCACUUGGGUGGCACCGGGACAGCUAUUGUUUCAAAGAAGGUAACACUAAUGUGGAGGGUUCUUACGGAAAGUCCCUCAGGCAGGGACAGGUCUGGGUGAAGAGGAAGAGUCAGAUUCUCAGGUUGCUGGGAAGGGCACUUCCCAGGUGAAAGUGAAUCAUGGGAGGUGAGGCAGGUCACCAUCGGGCUUCUGGUCCAAAUCACUGGAAGAGUAAACCAUGCUUUUACUGAAAGCACUCCUCAUCUAAAGGUAAUUUACACAGAUUUAAGAAUCCGUGUAAUUGGGCUGGCAAUGAAUUGGCAGAAUGCUUUCAAAGUAUGCACGAAGCCCUGGGUUUGAUCCCAACAGCACAUAACAGGGUUUGGUGGCUGGGGGUGGGGGUGCAUGGCUUUAAUCCCAGCACUUGGGACAUGAAGACAGGAGUAUUACAAGUUCAAGACUGUCCUUGCUAGAUUGAAGAGCCUGGAGCACUAAGACACUGUCUCAAAAACAAAAAUGGACCUAUAGAUUUUAGGGGAAAAGAGAAAUUUGGGGGCAGGGGCAGGGAGCCUAAUAGAGCAUCUGCUGGACAUAAACCAAGACUUACUCAUCAACAUAUAACCAGUUAUGGGGUUGGGGAUUUAGCUCAGUGGUAGAGCACUUGCCUAGCAAGCGCAAGGCCCUGGGUUCGAUCCUCAGCUCCGGGUGGGGGCCUUGGUGGGGGUUGAAAAGAAAGAAAUCGUCCUCAUACCCUUGAAGCUGACUGGUAGAGUUGAGUUGUUCAACAUUGCCACAUUCUGUUCCUCUUACUUAGAGUAGAGAACCAGUGGGUUUUUUUUUAAAACAUUUUAUUUAUUUAUUAUAUAUUAUGAUUACACUGUCGAUAUCUUCAGACACACCAGAAGAGGGCAUCAGACUCAUUUCAGAUGGUUGUGAGCCACCAUGUGGUUGCUGGGAUUUGAACUCAGGACCUUGGGAAGAGCAGUCGGUGCUCUUAACCACUGAGCCAUCUCUCCAGCCCGAACCAGUGGUUUUUACAGGGAGAGAUCAGCUGUGGGUAUUUCUCUGAACAAAUAAGACAGCAAAAGUCCUAAUGAAGAACUGUGCUAAGAAUAAACUGAUUUCUUACACACGCCGUUUGCUUUUCUAUUUGAGUUUUGACUCCUUGUGGACUAUGUAAUUAUGUGUCAACUGUGCAUUAAUUUUGUUAAGUGCUAUUUUCCCUAUAUCAAAGGUAAAUUUUAUGUUUCAUCCAAGGUCAAAUCUCACUUUAAAAAAAAAGUGGGGUUGGGGAUUUAGCUCAGUGGUAGAGCGCUUGCCUAGCAAGCGCAAGGCCCUGGGUUUGGUCCCCAGCUCUGAAAAAAAGAAGAAAAAAGUGGAUAUUUUUUUUCCUGGUCUUAUUGAAUUUGUAUAGUUUUUUGUUAUGUAUUUGAGAGUUAUACUAAGAACUACUUCUGACAUUCACUGCCACCAAAUAGGUGUGUCUUAGGAGUUGAAGAGACUUAAUUCAUUAAAGUGUCGUGAACAAGUGGCAACAUGGCCACAUUUUUUUUCUCUCUUAAAUCUGAGUCCUCUCAUCGUGAGCCCGCAUCACUGGGGAUUCCGGGCUGCAGUUGGGAAGGGUCUGGGCCGUUAUGUGCGAAAACACAUUUCUCCAAAUUGCAUUCACUGAAUGUACCACUCCAGCACAGAGAGCAAGCAGGGAUACGUAACCACGCUCAUUGGUUAUGCUUCAAAUUGGCCCUGUGAAAAACAUGAAGGAAAAUGACAUUUGCUGGGGAACGUCUCUUUUUUCCCCAUAAGGGGAUUGUUUUGUGUGGCUGAUCUGAUCGAUUUAUUUUUUAAGUAGUUUUGCCAAUUUUUUAAAAAGAUUUAUUUACUCAUUUUCUAUAUACAAGUACUCUGUCAUUCUCUUCAGACACACCAGCAGAGGGCAUCAGAUCCCAUUACAGAUGGUUGUGAGCCACCAUGUGGUUGCUGGGAAUUGAACUCAGAACCUCUGGAAGAGCAGUCGGUGCUUUAAACCGCUGAGCCAUCUCUCCAGCUCAGAUCUGAUUGAUUUUUAUUGGAUCAGUUUAAUUUUUCUCUCUUCUCAGGUAGAGUGUGGGUUUUAUUUUUCCUGUUCUUCAACACAGUCUGCCACACAGCCUGCCACAGUCCUCAUCAUCCCUCUCAGCUUAGGGAAGUCUGAAGAAGCACUUGGGACCGUGGCCAUAAUAUCAGGUUGUAACAGUAGGUGACAGGAAUGGAACACCUCAUCACAGACCCCUCCUUUUUCUUUCUUUUAAUCCAGGCUGGCUUCAAACUCUAGACCCUCCUGCCUCAGACCUCUCAAGUACUACUAUGAUUGCAGGGGUGCGCCACACCUAACUGGAACCAGGCUUUCCGUAUUCUAUCCAAACAAAGAAGCCUUCAACAAAGAUCAAGCAGAAUUGAUCCCAAGUUGUUCUCUUCACAGAUACAUAAUGGACCCAUAGAUCCAGGGUCUAGAAUUCAUCGCCAGUCCCCCGCAAUGCUGGUGGCACCUUGGUCCAAUGGCAGGAUGAUAGCAGGUAGCCCAGCAGUACUGUCCACAGGGCACUUUCUGUCUGCAAUUAUAGCCUGCCAGAGCCAUUUAUUUCCUUGCUUGGUGAAAAUGUUUUCAUUUGAAUUUCUCUUGAGCACUUGGAGAAGCAGAGAACAACGGGCAGGUUGCGUGGGAAACAAAGUCCUUAAAAACAUGGUCCUGGAGCCCAUGGCCAAACUUGGAUUUUUGAUGAUUUUGCAUAAAAUCAGUAUUUCAAAUCUACUCUGCUGAGGUCGGCUGAGAUGAGGUCUUGAAGGACACACAGGACAGAACUCCUGGCUCCUUUGUUACUUCUGAAACAUGAACUGCUUUUAGCAAUAAGGGCUGGAAUGUUCCAUAGGAACUCGGAGCAUGGGACAGAGGGAUAUGACACACACUCGGUGUGGGCUAUUUAAAACCAGGCCCUUGGCUUCCCUCUGUGAUUCUAAAUACGUGAAACCACAUUGCCCUGCAGCAGCCGGUAACUAUUUCUAUGACACUGCCCAGCAUCUGUGCUCAGAGUGGCUGGGUCCACCCAACAAAAAGAAAGUAGCACAUAGUCCAGGUUUCCAGUGUCCAGCUAACGUCCACCUAGUGUCAGAUCGAGAGGGCGCUGGGGGAGUGAGAGGUCUUGAAAGUUAAGGACCGAUCUAUUGAACUAUCUAUCUCAGGUGCCUUAGCACGUUUUUUAAAAAAGUCCAUUUUAAACAAGCCAUUUAUACGACUAAUGAAUAGUGUAAGCAAAACUGAUCGUUUUCUCAGGAUGAGCACAGCCUACAGAAUGAUCCCAGACUUACAGACAUUGCUCCUCUCUGAAUCGUAAAACCUGUUUUAAUUUUUUUUUUCUUUGACGUGUUACCGCUUCCCUUCAUCGAACGGAUAAACAACCCCUUAGGUAUUGUGUACUUAAUUGCCAACCGACCAAAGGCGUUAGCCAGGGAGUGACAAUAAUGAGCCUUGUUAUAUAAUGUCAAAACACCUUGACCAAGUUUGUAAAUGCAAUCGGUCAGUCCAGCUUUUAGGAUUUCUGACAGACUGUAUCAAGUAACUUUAUGCGUUUUUAUCUUGACGUCAAGAAUUAAAGCUUCAGCCUUUAUAAAACAUGUAAGACUUUGCCACAUCCAAUACACCACAUCUUGAACUCGAUCCAAGGCUGCGUGUUCACACCUUUGAUCCCGGCAGUGGGGACGAAAAGGGAGGAAUAUCAGAAGCUGAGGGGCCAGCAGAGCUCUUGGCAGGGUCAGCCAGCAUGAACUAUGUGAGACCCUUUCAUAUAUAUAUAUAUAUAUAUAUAUAUAUAUAUAUAUAUAUAUAUAUAUAUAUAUCUGAUCACAAGACUUCAAAAAUAUGUCUUAUCAUUUCCAUUUUGAAGAUAAGGGGAGAGGAGGGAGAGCUGGUCUGAACGAGACCAUGUGAGACCACGUGGAUGAGAUUAGUGGGGUGAGAUUUGAACACAACACUCUCAAAUUUCAAAUUCACAGUGUUUGCCUAUCUAUAAAUGAUCUCAACACAAUGGCUAAGCAUGGAUGGCAAGGAAACAUAUAAAUCUAGAAAGCAAAGAAAUAAAAACUUGGAUCUUAAUCUUAAGAUACCUCAAGUUACAUAUAUUGACAGUUGACUGUGUCUGUCUUGGAAAUGUCUAUCUGCUGACCUACGAUUGAUGCUGGAACAGGGGAGACCCCUUGACUCUCGUGUGGUUAAGAACCCAUUAAGAACUAGACUCCCAUUGCCAAACAUGACACAUCAGAACAAAUUAUACAUAUUUCAUUAUCCUGUGGAGCGGUCUGAUUUCCUAGUCCAGUGCUAUUUUUGAAUAUUUUUCAGGCAUGGACUGAAUAUGUGGUUCCCUUGUGGCCAUCUCAAAACAUAGAACAGGGAGUAUUUGCUUUAUUAAUAUCAUCUUUCCCUCGCUGCGAGGGGACAAGUUAUAAAUUAGAGGAGAUUAGAAAGCAGUCUCUUGAGAAUUAGUAUUUUAAGAAAUUACCUAGAAAGAACCAAGGGUGGUUUUUUUUUUUUCUCUUUCUCCCCGCAUGGUAACUCACACAGAGGAGCAGUCUGCCCCAGAUCCCCGCAAGACAACAUCUUGAGCGCAUAUGUGAUUCUGGGCUCUGUAUUGACAAACCCAAGAACUCCAGCGCAAAAUAACCGGAGUUCCCAAGUUAAAAAUGAAAGUAAGAUUAUCAAAAUUAGUAUUCCUAUUGCAUCGUCCCAACAACUUCAUAAACAGUCGUUAAACUAGAUAGCAUUACAGGUUAGUUAAUUUACCCAUGCAAGGAUCAACCUUCAUGGUGGAUGCGAAGUUACAAAUAACCCAUCUAUCUAUCUCCCGCUUUACCAAUGUUCUCGCCCCUUUCAGAAGCAUCAUCACAUUCAACAGAAACAAUACGAAGCUCAUAUUUUACUAGAAGGCUUAUCCAAAUACAUGCCAUAUCAAAAAUAGUCAGGAUAUAAAUGUUUCUCACAAGAGCUGCAGCGAUGGUGUGAACAAGAAACUCCCUUCUGAGAUUUCAGUAAAACCAGAUCUCACAAAGGAUCUGAAAGAAAACAAAACACACACACACACACAAAAACAAACACACACACACACAAAGAGACACACACACAGAGAACAGAGCUUACGUUAAUCCGAUUUACCAUAGCGGUUGCUAUAUUAUCACACUAUUUUACAGGGUAUGAUCCUGUUCCUUCCCCGGCGAAGCAAGAGAGAGACGAGCCUGCUCCAGGUGCCUCGGGAGAAUGUCCAGGGUGGGGGGCUAGCUAAGCAUGUUCCCUGGGAGCUUACCAAAACCACAGAUUUUAAACACAGCAAAAAUGUCACUGCUAUCAAAUGGUCAAGCAUGCAAGAGGACUCUGUCUCACGGGGCUCUGUGCCCCUCUCAGAAUAAACACAAACCCCCAAAUCCACCAGCUGGAAUUCUUUAAAUUGUAAAUUAGAUAUCAAAAUGCUUACGGGCCUUACAGUGAGAUAACAUCAGGAGGAACGGUGCGUGGAAUGGAUCUCGCAUUCUCACAUAAAGCGUUAUCUUUGCUACAAGUACACACAGCAGGGCAUUUUGGCUUCGCUGGUUUCUUCCCCUCAGUCAGCAAAACCACAGAAAAGAGGCAUAGGAAAUAGGCAAUUCUUUUCAGGGGAAUGCAGGCAUUUCCCAUCCUUCUGAUGCUUUCUGAUUCCAUGCAGUCGAGAGAAUAUCCCCACACAUGAACAAGGGCUUCUGGAAUUCAGCUGCUGGUUGUCUCGCUCUAAGAACAGGUCACAUAGGAGUUCCACCCUUCUCUGCUUCUGUAUCUGCUCUUUCAAAACAGGGACCUCCAGCUGAUUCGUGAGCUGUUCCUCGUUCAGGCAGCGCACUGCUGGGGGAAGAGACCUGCGAGGUGCUGAGAUGGGAGCGAGCCAACUGCUGGAGGAAGAGAGCCGACUCACUUCACAGAAAACACUGAGCACUGAGCACGGACCGGUCUUCGAAGGCUAGCGAAGUGAUGUAACAGAAAAUAAACAGCUUUCUGCUUUCA
This is a non-coding RNA of Rattus norvegicus (Norway rat), 9051 nucleotides long. The record is from RefSeq and is a predicted model, not a curated record. NCBI's taxonomy places the organism in Eukaryota, Metazoa, Chordata, Mammalia, Rodentia, Muridae.